GGUCCUGUCGUCUAGCCUGGCCUAGGACAUCGGAUUUUCAUUCCGAAAACACGGGUUCGAAUCCCGUCGGGACUACCA
This 78-nucleotide transfer RNA is filed under the name Candidatus Harrisonbacteria bacterium RIFCSPLOWO2_02_FULL_45_10c. RNAcentral's name for it is "tRNA-Glu". It matches the Rfam family "tRNA". Rfam says of the family: Transfer RNA (tRNA) molecules are approximately 80 nucleotides in length. Their secondary structure includes four short double-helical elements and three loops (D, anti-codon, and T loops). Further hydrogen bonds mediate the characteristic L-shaped molecular structure. tRNAs have two regions of fundamental functional importance: the anti-codon, which is responsible for specific mRNA codon recognition, and the 3' end, to which the tRNAs corresponding amino acid is attached (by aminoacyl-tRNA synthetases). tRNAs cope with the degeneracy of the genetic code in two manners: having more than one tRNA (with a specific anti-codon) for a particular amino acid; and 'wobble' base-pairing, i.e. permitting non-standard base-pairing at the 3rd anti-codon position. Lineage: Bacteria; Candidatus Harrisoniibacteriota. The record is from RNAcentral.